RNAcentral lists this ribosomal RNA (253 nucleotides) under uncultured bacterium. Its description in RNAcentral is "partial 16S ribosomal RNA". It matches the Rfam family "Bacterial small subunit ribosomal RNA", at positions 524 to 776 of the family's 1533-position model. The record is from RNAcentral.
UACGAAGGGGGCUAGCGUUGUUCGGAUUUACUGGGCGUAAAGCGCACGUAGGCGGACUAUUAAGUCAGGGGUGAAAUCCCGGGGCUCAACCCCGGAACUGCCUUUGAUGCUGGUAGUCUUGAGUUCGAGAGAGGUGAGUGGAAUUCCGAGUGUAGAGGUGAAAUUCGUAGAUAUUCGGAGGAACACCAGUGGCGAAGGCGGCUCACUGGCUCGAUACUGACGCUGAGGUGCGAAAGCGUGGGGAGCAAACAGG